UUUACUUUGAACAAAUCAGAGUGCUCCACACAGGCGUCUCGCCUGAAUGUUCGUGCAUGGAAUAAUAGAAGAGGAUUUCGGUUCUAUUUUAUUGGUUUUAUAGACUGAGGUAAUGGUUAAUAGAGACAAACGGGGGCAUUCGUACCGCUGCGUGAGAGGUGAAAUUCUUGGACCGCAGCGAGACGCACGACAGCGAAAGCAUUUGCCAAGCAUGUCUUCAUUAAUCAAGAACGAAAGUCAGAGGUUCGAAGGCGAUCAGAUACCGCCCUAGUUCUGACCGUAAACGAUGCCAACUAGCGAUCCGCCGGCGGAUCAUUCGCCCUGGUGGGGAGCUUCCCGGAAACGAAAGUCUUCCGGUUCCGGGGGAAGUAUGGUUGCAAAGCUGAAACUUAAAGGAAUUGACGGAAGGGCACCACCAGGAGUGGAGCCUGCGGCUUAAUUUGACUCAACACGGGGAAACUCACCCGGCCCGGACACCGCGAGGAUUGACAGAUUGACAGCUCUUUCAUGAUUCGGUGGAUGGUGGUGCAUGGCCGUUCUUAGUUCGUGGAGCGAUUUGUCUGGUUUAUUCCGAUAACGAGCGAGACUCUAGCCUGCUAAAUAGUCCAGUCAUCUCGCAACAGUGACUGCCGACUUCUUAGAGGGAUCAUCGGCGUUCAGCCGCACGAGAUUGAGCAAUAACAGGUCUGUGAUGCCCUUAGAUGUCCGGGGCUGCACGCGCGCUACACUGGCGAAGGCAGCGUGCCUGUCCUCUCCCGAAAGGGAUGGGUAAACC
Molecule: ribosomal RNA, 775 nt
Filed under: Filenchus discrepans
Lineage: Eukaryota; Metazoa; Nematoda; Chromadorea; Rhabditida; Tylenchidae
Description: SSU rRNA
Rfam family: Eukaryotic small subunit ribosomal RNA
Source: RNAcentral